ACUACUUUAUCCCAUCUAUUGGGAUUAUUUUAUACCAUCUAAAAGAUGAUAUAAAAUAAUCCAUGUAUAAGUGGGUUAAGAAGGUAUAAGCUGGGUUAUCCCAGCACUAAUUUUUAUACCAUGUUUGGUACAAGGUAAAAAUUUAUCCCAACACUAAUUUAUACCUUAUACCAAACAUGAUAUAAAAAUUAGUGCUGCGAUAACCCAACUUAUACCUUAAACCAAACGACCCCUAAAGCAAUUAAUGUAGUGAGUGUCAUGUCCACGUGGGAUCUUGACAAUUAAAGUAUCAUUUGUAUGGUCUAUUGAGUUGACGCCUAUGGGAUAAGGAUCAAGUUUAUAAAUUAUUUUAAAUGAGAUUAUCUUUGCCUCUAAUUGUACAAUUCCACCGUCAACACAUGCUAGUGGGGCCAAAUAUCUUACUUUUAUCACAUCGUUUCUUUGGCUAAGGUUGAGAAUUAUACAUACAUUGCAUACAUAUGCUAAAGGACAUAUAGUUGCUGCACUUUAAGAUAUCUCUCUCUCGGUCAAUAAUGACAUGACAACUUAAGAGCUCAAUUCUCAUUUUAAGGUGUAUUCAUAUGCAGCAACGUUCUAGUAUAGAGAGGCUAUAUAUAUACGUACACUUCUUAUCAUCUCUGUUGGAGAAUUUCUUUAGGAGGAAAUUGCAGCAACAAUUAAAUAAGUCACGAAGUGCAACAAAAUACGGAUUUUGCUAGCAAUCACCGCUCGAUCUCGAAGUUCCAUUUUAUCGCGUAGUUGGAUUCGAGCUUUCGCCAUAGUGAAGUAAGGUGAAAGAAGAUUAUUUAUUGGAAUAUAAGAUAUAGAUCGUGGAGCAGAUACAGGUUGAGUUCUUGAGUCGUUGGGCUAAGACCAGAGUAUCAGAUGGGAACGACUUCUACUCCUCGUGGCUGACUGCUCGAGGAUUUGCUGAUUCGAGUCUUUUAUGGUGAGCAUGAGUGUUACAUCUCGUGUUUUCAUGCGCUGGAAAGUGUGCGAGUUAAAUGAUAGUAGUAAUGGAAAUGAGGUUAUCCCCCAAGCUUAUACGUGGUUAGAGUGAUGGUACAGAUGUGUCGUAAGGAUUACAAGUUAAACAAAUCGAAGAAAAUAAGUUUCGUCGAGGUUCGAAAUUUAUCUGAAUGAAAUAUGGUCCCAGCUAUAAUAUUUUAUAUUUUUGGACAAGGAAAUUGAACCGUCCAACAUGAGAAAAUUUACCCGAGCCCAGAAAAUUUGAUCAUAUUCAAGCAUGAAAAUCAUGAACUCAGUGUAUAUGAGGAAUGAAGUCCCGAAAUGAUCUAAGACGAAAAAGUGUGAUGAAGAUGAUUGCAAAUGAUAUUUUGUGUAUGAAAAAAGAAAUUGUGAACUAGUGUUAUAUCCCAUGAUCAUACUAAUAAGUAUAUGAAGGGUUGAAAGUGAUUAGUAUUUAAGUAAAAGUGGGAGACAGAGUGUGAUUAUAAAAUAAAGGGAUUAAUGUAGUGAGUGUCAUGUCCACGUGGGAUCUUGACAAUUAAAGUAUCAUUUGUAUGGUCUAUUGAGUUGACGCCUAUGGGAUAAGGAUCAAGUUUAUAAAUUAUUUUAAAUGAGAUUAUCUUUGCCUCUAAUUGUACAAUUCCACCGUCAACACAUGCUAGUGGGGCCAAAUAUCUUACUUUUAUCACAUCGUUUCUUUGGCUAAGGUUGAGAAUUAUACAUACAUUGCAUACAUAUGCUAAAGGACAUAUAGUUGCUGCACUUUAAGAUAUCUCUCUCUCGGUCAAUAAUGACAUGACAACUUAAGAGCUCAAUUCUCAUUUUAAGGUGUAUUCAUAUGCAGCAACGUUCUAGUAUAGAGAGGCUAUAUAUAUACGUACACUUCUUAUCAUCUCUGUUGGAGAAUUUCUUUAGGAGGAAAUUGCAGCAACAAUUAAAUAAGUCACGAAGUGCAACAAAAUACGGAUUUUGCUAGCAAUCACCGCUCGAUCUCGAAGUUCCAUUUUAUCGCGUAGUUGGAUUCGAGCUUUCGCCAUAGUGAAGUAAGGUGAAAGAAGAUUAUUUAUUGGAAUAUAAGGUAAUAAUUCUCCUCUACUAGAUAAAUUUAAAGUUCGCCCAGGUCAUAGCUAAAUUAUGAGUUGAGAAUUACAAAAUUAAUUGCGGAAUAUCAGAUAAGUUAUUAUUGCUGUUGUGUGGGCUGAUUUGGUGUAUAUUUCUGGAUUAUGUUGUGGCUGGAAAUUGUUGGAGUAACUUAAGUAUAUUGUUAUUGUUGUCAUUCAUAUGUAUUUUGAAGGAAAGAAAAAUAGGAGAAGUGUGUUUGAAAAUCGUAUUCCGGCUUGUCGCUCGUCGCGAAAUGUAUAUGACUUGUUGCUGCUGCAUGGUAUCUUAUUAUUGAUGUAUACACUUGCUAGAUUGUUCUGGUUGUUUUUUGUUGAUAUAUGGAGUUUGGGAAAAUGAGAAGGCGGGCGAGAUGCUGCCCGUUUUGUUUUAGGUUAAGUUAAAUUUUCAUUAUACGAUUAAGAGAAUCAUUUGUAUGGUUAACGAUAGUAUCAUUGUUGUUAGAUAUAGAUCGUGGAGCAGAUACGGGUUAAGUUCUUGAGCCGUUGGGCUAAGAACAGGUUUGUUAAGGCUAUCAUUUUCUUUCAUUUUUGUAUAAUCCUUAUGAUAUGAACGAACAAACGAAUGAGCGAGCUUCCAUAUUACUCUACUGUUAGAAGCAUUAGGAGCAGUUUAGUCUUUGAUGAUCCUAUACCCUUUUUAUGAUUGUUCCUUCUGUUCUUGGGCCCUGAGAUUUCAUACAUUGAUGAAGUUAGCUCAAAAGAUGUCUAUCAGAGGCAGUAUGACCUUAUGUCACUCUGAGAGUUCUAGUUACUCAUUAUGCUUAAGCAUUGCAUUUAUUAUACAUAUGCAUAUUGACCCUUGACCAGAAGGCGUUAUAUACGCGUAUAUUUGUCACGCCCCUAAUUGAGGUUCCCUAAUCAUAGCAGCGCAUCACACCGGAAUAUGAAAUUCAACGGUGGCUAUCCUUCCUCCCGAAUAGCUUGGCAUAAUCACACCCCAGGUAGCGAACCUAGAAGUGGCCACUCUUCCUCCCGAAUGGCUAGACAUUAUCACACUAGGAUCCAUAGUGGCUACCCUUCCUCCCGAGUAGCUAGGCCAAACACAACAACAAAGUUCAUAGCAUAGAAGCCGAUUCACAAUUUGUCUCAUAGUAGUCACACUAUCAAUUAACAUUAAAGCUCAAUGUGCCAUUACAAAGAUCCAUAAUUUCGUAGAUAAUCUUGAAAACGUUUCCACUUCUUUAAACAGAUUCCAUUGUCAUAGUUCAUUGUAAUCCAUCAGUACCAACAAUUAAACAUCAUUAUUGAUCAUCUCUUAUGGAGGAAAAUGAUUAUGAUUUCAUAUAUGUAUAUAGAGGAUAAUACAAUCAAGGUUUAAUGUGGGCUUGUCCCCUCACACACACCAACCACUAUCAAAACAUGAAUUAGGGUUUUAUAUGAUAAGUUCACCUUUUUAUUCAAUAAAGAUCUAUUGAGAAGAAGACAUAUAUCCAUAAUAAGGUUUUUAAAAGAGUGACAUACCUUAAUUAAGCCUUACGUAACUCAACAAUUCACUUUUACAACCAAGAACACCCAAAACCCUAGCUUGAGUCAGUUUGAGAAAGACUACCUUGCAACCUAGGUUUUUCAUUCAAGAAUCAUGUUAAGAAUCAUGGGUUUAACGCUAGGGUUGAUUAAUAAUGUUAAAGAUGUUCUUACCUUAUGUUUUGGGGAAACCCUAGGGUUAUUUCUCUUCAAAAAGUCGACCAAAGAUGAAUUGGAAUGAUGGUUUAAGAAAUUUUCACGUUUUGGGGGUUUUUAUAGUCGAGUAAGGGGCAUGCCGCAUCGUGCGAAUCACACGUUUGAUCCAUGAAACACAACCCUACUGCACGACGUGUCAGAGGGGCGUGAUUUCUGGUGUUCAUCCUGAGAUUCGCAGGAUGAUCCCGCGAAACGCAGGUUAGUAAAAUGGCCAUAAAUUUUUACUCGCAAGUCCAUUGACGCUCCACUAUAUACCUUUGGAAAGAUAUUUCAAAGAUAUACAACUUCUAUUAAAGGAAGUUUUCCCAAAUUCGCAACGGAUUUUCACGAAAUUGGCCUACAAGACAAGUCAACAAAUCUUAGGCGAUUUUAAGAACUCUUACGUACUUCACUACUUGGUCUUGAUCUUAAAUCAACUAUUUCCACCCAAACUCAUAUUGAUAGGACUUCAUAUGCAUAAAAUGUCACAUUAAUUCUCAUUUAAUACCUUCACACCUAACUCAGAUUUACAGAGUGUUACAAUAUUAUAUGUGUAUGGGGUAUGGGGAAAGGGAUAGGCGUUAUACACGCAUUACCACCUGACCAACUAGUGCACAGUGAUGAUAAUGAUGAUAUAUGGAUCGGGCCAUAUGUUCCUCGACAUUAUUUUAUGAUAUAAGGAUCGGGCCGUACGUUCCUCAGCACUAACAUAUGGUAUAUGGAUCGGGUUGUACGUUCCACAGCACUAACAGUUAUAUUAUGACUUAUGCAUAUCAUACGCCUUCAGAGGCAUCUUUAGCUAAGCAGAGUUUUAUAGAUAUGUUCAGAUAUUCAGUCCUACAGAUGCAUUCAGACAGCCAGUUGAGCUUAUGAGUUUCAGAUUCUCUUCAUGAUUCUUAUGUAUAUGCUACUCUUAUGCUUUACAUAAUCAGUACAUUAUCUGUACUGAAUCUCCUAUUAUUCGGGGGAGGGGGGCUGUGUUUCAUGCCCGCAAGUUUGCAAAUACAAGUUGGUGAUCCAUCUAUUAGGAUGUCAGCUCAGCGGAUGAAGUUGAUGCACUCCGUUUGUUCUGGAGAUGCCAGGAGUCAGCACCGUCUUAUGUAUAUAUAGAUAUGUACGCGCAUAUGUUUAUGGGUAUGGCGAGGCCCUGUCCUGGCCAUGUUAUAUUAUUUUUCCAUUAGAGGCUUGUAGACAGUUAUGUACAGUCAGAUGAUGUCCAGACUUGAGAGUUCAUAUGUUGUCACAAGUGGUUAUGAUAGCCUUACCAGCUCAUACAGCAUGUCCAGUAUUGUCACACAUGGGUCUUUUAGGACAGUUGAUACAUGCAUGUUUGUAUGAGUUUAUUGAGAGUCAAAUGACGACCUUAUUGGUCCACCUAUGCUUAUAUUUUUAUCACUGAUGUAUGUUAGUUGGUACUUGAGUAGUACGGUCUGGUGCUCGUCAUGGCCUUUCCCUUUGGGUCAUAACAAUGAGGACGUUCGCUGCCCGAAGACUCCUCUAUCUACUAUGUCUUUAUUUCCGUUCUAAGACAUAUGUUUUGAGACUAUUGAUGUAUUUUUAUUAUUUAGACUUGUAGUAUUUAGUUAGAUGCUCUUGUAUGACCAGACCAGAUACUGGGGUUUAUUUCUCUUGUUU
Long non-coding RNA from Lycium barbarum (goji berry), 5384 nucleotides. RefSeq lists it as uncharacterized. NCBI's taxonomy places the organism in Eukaryota, Viridiplantae, Streptophyta, Magnoliopsida, Solanales, Solanaceae. The transcript is spliced from 3 exons. The record is from RefSeq and is a predicted model, not a curated record.